AUAUAUAUAGUCUUUUUCUUUAUUUUAUUUUAUUUUUCUUCUACACAUUUUUAGAUACGUAAGCAUAUAUAUAGAGAUACUAGCUGUGUCCUGCCAUGCGUUGCUGUGGCCCAUUGGAAUUGCACUGAAUAGCUCCGUUUUUUGGGAGUUUUUUAGGCCCUGUGGAGGUUCGUGACGUGAUAUUUUGUGGUUUGAACCUCGAGGCGUGGAUGAUGGAUUGUGUUGUGGAAUUUCGAGGUUGGGGGGUGUUUAGUUUUGUUGUUUUGCUCGGUGCCAGGAUUCCAUCACUCUUUUAUAUAUAUAUAGAUAUAUUUGUCUUUUUUUCUAUACAUACUUUAUCUUCUUUCCUUUUUCCUACUUUUCUAUAACACAUAAUGUUCCCCCACUUUUUCUGUAUUCAAAAAAUCUUCUUCUUUCAAUAAAAAUUAUUUUAAAAAAAUCAUCUACUCCGAAUGUGCAAAACAUCAUUUAGGGCACUCACCCAUAUUUUUAGGACCCCUAGACAAUUUUUGAAAUACUUUCUGUCUUCAUCUGGAUCUAAAAUGAGCAAAACAUCUUUACAUCUCCAUAGGGUAUUUGGGCUUCCAAACACUUGAGGAUAUUCUAGAACCCACAAAAAUUACCUACUCUAAACAAAGAACAUCUAGAAUACCCUCCGCUCACGCUACCUGUGGAAUUGGUUGGUUAAUAGUCCCCAAAGUGUCCUUCUCAAGCUCUGUUGAGGAUGGCCUUUGUGGUCUCUUCCAACUCUAUGAUUCUAUGUUGAUCUAUGCAUUUGCCUGGAUAUUUUAUUAAACAUGAAUGCAAAAGCUGUUUACAAUAAUCAAAACAACCCAAUGAAUGCCACCAACAGCACAAAGCAAUUGGGUGUAGGCCAAUAUCCUCCUCCUCCACCAUCCUACAAGCAAAAGUAAUGCAACCGUUGCGAUUUCUUGCAUUCCACAUCCUUUAAGAAUGCAAAGUAAUUCAAAUAAUCAUUUGCUCAAGGUUUGAGGCUCGUGACUUCCAUGGGGCUCUGAAAGGACCCAGACAUUUCCAUAUGUAUGGUCUCCGGAGGGUGGGGUCUGUUAGGGCCAAAUGUCGAUAAAUUAUAGACAUGGACAUGACAAAUUAGAGACUUAAGUGGACUAAAGAUAAUGACCCCCCUGACAUGAUUAAAUCUACAUCUUCUUAAAGCCAGUCCCUUAUAAAAGAGGUUUCCCUUCACAGAUCAUCAUUCGCCUUGGCUACUUGACUCUCCUUGUGGUUCAACAGACACUGCUCCAUCUCCAGAAAGAUGUCCAGCAAAGACCAGCAGAAGAAGCAGCAGAGUCAGAAGCCUCCUGAGGAGCAGAAGGCUUCAAAAAAUGAAUGCCCGGAAAAAUCCCCCAAAACACAAAAAAAGCAGGAAAAAGAAGAGCCUACCAAGAAGAAGCAGAAUUGAAAUUCUACCAAGAUCUCCACCAAGAGUUCCAUCAACUGAUCGGCACCAUGAGCAAUGCCCUUGGCUUGUGGUUCUUUCGAGGGCAUGCCUCCAGAUUUCUUAGAUCCAGUUCCUUUUCUUUCUAUUGAUCUGUUGACCUGCUUCAUCUUGCUUCUGGGAUCUGAGAAGUUUCUCCAAACAGACCAGGAGAACCUGCAUCCAGAGAAGCUCGGCCAUAUGCUGUGAGGACUUUCCAUCACUUCCACUCAUGGGACACAUGUUUAGCUCCUUACAAGGAACAUUCUCUGCUCUAGUUAUCAUUCGACAAUGUCCAUAUGGGUAAAUUGUCUCACAGAGAUGUUCUACUCACGGCUUGUGGUCAGGUUGUAUCUUGGCAAAACCCUGAAGCUUUAAUGACGUCAACUUGCUUAGUUUCUUAUGCUUUCUUGUAAUAAACCAUUACAAUUCAUCAUA
This is a long non-coding RNA of Anolis carolinensis (green anole), 1876 nucleotides long. RefSeq lists it as uncharacterized. Lineage: Eukaryota; Metazoa; Chordata; Lepidosauria; Squamata; Anolidae. The record is from RefSeq and is a predicted model, not a curated record. The transcript has 2 exons.